Molecule: ribosomal RNA, 117 nt
Filed under: Danio rerio (zebrafish)
Lineage: Eukaryota; Metazoa; Chordata; Actinopteri; Cypriniformes; Danionidae
Source: RNAcentral
GGCCACAGCCGUAUCACCCUGCAGACAAAGACCGGUUACUCAUUGAAGCUUAACAGGGCUGAGCCUGUUCAGUACCUGAAUGUGAGACCACAUGGGAAAACUAGGUUGCUGUUGGAA